CCGACCUUAGCUCAGUUGGUAGAGCGGAGGACUGUAGUAGGAAACGUCUAGCUGUAAUCCUUAGGUCGCUGGUUCGAAUCCGGCAGGUCGGA
RNAcentral lists this transfer RNA (92 nucleotides) under Vigna radiata var. radiata (mung bean). Its description in RNAcentral is "tRNA tRNA-Tyr". It matches the Rfam family "tRNA". From Rfam's summary of the family: Transfer RNA (tRNA) molecules are approximately 80 nucleotides in length. Their secondary structure includes four short double-helical elements and three loops (D, anti-codon, and T loops). Further hydrogen bonds mediate the characteristic L-shaped molecular structure. tRNAs have two regions of fundamental functional importance: the anti-codon, which is responsible for specific mRNA codon recognition, and the 3' end, to which the tRNAs corresponding amino acid is attached (by aminoacyl-tRNA synthetases). tRNAs cope with the degeneracy of the genetic code in two manners: having more than one tRNA (with a specific anti-codon) for a particular amino acid; and 'wobble' base-pairing, i.e. permitting non-standard base-pairing at the 3rd anti-codon position. Lineage: Eukaryota; Viridiplantae; Streptophyta; Magnoliopsida; Fabales; Fabaceae. The record is from Rfam by way of RNAcentral.